GCAAGUCGAACGGUAACAUUUCUAGCUUGCUAGAAGAUGACGAGUGGCGGACGGGUGAGUAAUGCUUGGGAACUUGCCUUUACGAGGGGGAUAACAGUUGGAAACGACUGCUAAUACCGCAUAAUGUCUUCGGACCAAACGGGGCUUCGGCUCCGGCGCAAAGAGAGGCCCAAGUGAGAUUAGCUAGUUGGUAAGGUAACGGCUUACCAAGGCGACGAUCUCUAGCUGUUCUGGGAGGAAGAUCAGCCACACUGGGACUGAGACACGGCCCAGACUCCUACGGGAGGCAGCAGUGGGGAAUAUUGCACAAUGGGGGAAACCCUGAUGCAGCCAUGCCGCGUGUGUGAAGAAGGCCUUCGGGUUGUAAAGCACUUUCAGUUGUGAGGAAAAGUUAGUAGUUAAUACCUGCUAGCCGUGACGUUAACAACAGAAGAAGCACCGGCUAACUCCGUGCCAGCAGCCGCGGUAAUACGGAGGGUGCGAGCGUUAAUCGGAAUUACUGGGCGUAAAGCGCACGCAGGCGGUUUGUUAAGCUAGAUGUGAAAGCCCCGGGCUCAACCUGGGAUGGUCAUUUA
RNAcentral lists this ribosomal RNA (575 nucleotides) under uncultured bacterium. RNAcentral's name for it is "bacterial SSU rRNA". It matches the Rfam family "Bacterial small subunit ribosomal RNA", at positions 57 to 629 of the family's 1533-position model. The record is from RNAcentral.